GCCUGGUCGCUGCACGGGCAGGCUGUGCGAACACCUCAGCUUGUCCGGGUUCGGUGCUAGGCCAGCAGGGAAAAGCGGCUCCAAAGGCCUCUCUCAGAGAAGUGCAUCAGUGAAACUGACAGCAAUUCAGCCUCCUGCCAGCACAGAAGCAGCCAGUGCCUGUGCCUGCAUCCUUGAGAUGGUAGCUGGAGAAGAAUGAUCUUCCCAAAGGCACCAGGAAAGGAAUGUCAGAGGCCGAUGUUUCUUUUCACCUAACGCUGGUGUGCCUGUGAAACCAACAGGCGUGAAAGAAAGGUUGGAACAUGACCAAUGCUGAGAGAAGUGGUAAAGCUCUCUGUCCAGCACCUGCCUUGUGCCCUCUGUGUCUCAGCGGGUGCCCAGUUCAGCAGCAGCAGUCGUGGUCCUUGGCUCAUCUGGCAGAAGAAAUUCAGUGUCAUCACCCAAAAAGCAGCUGACUGGACUUGCAGUGGGCACAGAUGGCCAAGAGAAAAGCUAUCAAGUCCACUGAAUGUUCUAAAAAUAGUCAGAUGCUUCACUGGUUUCUGCAUUGCUGUGCUGUUGGAGGUACUGUUGUUCACAUGCACAGUUUUGGAAAGUAAUGCCCAUGACUAAAGGAUUGCUUGUUGGUGCUUUAUGGCAGCAGACAGGAUUUCUGGGUGCUUACUCCUGAGCACAGCAAGCAGGACUUUUUCUUGUUUCGUGAAAAUGUGAACUACUUAAACUGCAAGUAGGAAGGUACAUCAUUCUUCAUGGAUGAGAAGGGAAGGAAAAGGGAGAAAAAAUAAUUUUGAGAAAUUGGUAAAUUUAUCAGUCUUUAAAGAGUGCUCUAUUCACACACUAAGUUACUUUUAAUCUUCUGUUCCCUUUUUUUAUCCCUGCACUUAGAGCAUCUUCUGCUGCUACUUUGAAUGUACCAGGGCAGGAGGCUGCUGUCCUGCAGUGCCAGGUUGCAGGGAGGACAGCAGGACCUGGAAGCGUAGCAGUUUCUGGAGGUCUUGAGAGUGUGGUGACAGUAGAAGGGGUGUGGAUAUCCAUGGUCAGGAGUUCAGUCUGUACCUGUAAUUAUAACAUUAAAAAACAAAUUUUUUUUUUUGGCCUCGUUGGAGCAUUCCCAUUCUAAUUACAAAUUUUCAGUAAACUCUCCAGAAUUCCCUGGCAGCAACACUAGAGAGACACAGCAAGUAUCCAGAAAUGAGUAAAUAUAAAUAAAAUAUUCAGAGCAGUAGGGCUAAAUUCGGGA
This 1240-nucleotide long non-coding RNA is filed under the name Zonotrichia albicollis (white-throated sparrow). Its description in RNAcentral is "lncRNA (ENSZALG00000016140.1)". The record is from RNAcentral. Lineage: Eukaryota; Metazoa; Chordata; Aves; Passeriformes; Passerellidae.